GGCGCUAUGGUGUAGUGGCAGCACUUGGGAUUUUGAUGUGGCGCACCAACCGCAUGAAGUUCUUCCCACAACCCAGGUUCGAACCCUGGUAGUGCCU
Molecule: non-coding RNA, 97 nt
Organism: Desarmillaria ectypa
Lineage: Eukaryota; Fungi; Basidiomycota; Agaricomycetes; Agaricales; Physalacriaceae
Source: the annotation of a GenBank genome assembly